GAUGAAGAACGUAGUGAAAUGCGAUAAGUAAUGUGAAUUGCAGAAUUCAGUGAAUCAUCGAAUCUUUGAACGCACCUUGCACCCUUUGGCAUUCCGAAGGGUAUGCUCGUUUGAGUGUCAUUGUACUCUCACUCUCCCGAUGCUUUUGGAUCGGGAGUGGUGGACUUGGGUGUUGCUGCUUUGCUGUGGCUCGCCUCAAAUGGAGUAGUGCAACUCUUGGUUGGACAUAGUACGGCGUGAUAAGUGUCUUCGCCGGCGCCUCAUUAUAGAGGGUGGCCGAUCGGGAGCUCUGUGCUUCAAACCGUCUUCGGACAACAUCUGGCAACUUGACCUCAAAUCGAGUAGGACUACCCGCUGAACUUAAGCAUAUCAAUAAGCGGAGGA
This 384-nucleotide unclassified non-coding RNA is filed under the name soil metagenome. RNAcentral describes it as "partial contains 5.8S ribosomal RNA, internal transcribed spacer 2, and large subunit ribosomal RNA". The stretch from base 1 to 120 matches the Rfam family "5.8S ribosomal RNA", at positions 35 to 154 of the family's 154-position model. The record is from RNAcentral.